Molecule: ribosomal RNA, 429 nt
Filed under: Actinomycetes bacterium
Lineage: Bacteria; Bacillati; Actinomycetota; Actinomycetes
Description: Actinobacteria bacterium partial 16S ribosomal RNA
Rfam family: Bacterial small subunit ribosomal RNA
Source: RNAcentral
UAGGGAAUCUUCCGCAAUGGGCGAAAGCCUGACGGAGCAACGCCGCGUGAGAGAUGAAGGUCUUCGGAUCGUAAAACUCUGUUAUUAGGGAAGAACAAAUGUGUAAGUAACUAUGCACGUCUUGACGGUACCUAAUCAGAAAGCCACGGCUAACUACGUGCCAGCAGCCGCGGUAAUACGUAGGUGGCAAGCGUUAUCCGGAAUUAUUGGGCGUAAAGCGCGCGUAGGCGGUUUUUUAAGUCUGAUGUGAAAGCCCACGGCUCAACCGUGGGGGGUCAUUGGAAACUGGAAAACUUGAGUGCAGAAGAGGAAAGUGGAAUUCCAUGUGUAGCAGUGAAAUGCGCAGAGAUAUGGGGGAACACCAGUGGCGAAGGCGACUUUCUGGUCUGUAACUGACGCUGAUGUGCGAAAGCGUGGGGAUCAAACAGG